GAUGAACGCUGGCGGCGUGCCUAACACAUACAAGUCGAGCGAAGGGACGCGAAUUUUGCUUCUCUGAUGUUAGCGGCGGACGGGUGAGUAACACGUGGAUAACCCUCCUAUAUGACUGGGAUAACUUCGGGAAAGCGGAGCUAAUACCGGAUGCUCUUUUGAACCGCAGGGUUCAAGAGUGAAAGACGGUUUUGCUGUCACUUAUAGAUGGAUCCGCGCUGCAUUGGCUAGUUGGUAGGGCAACGCCUUGCCAAGGCAGCGAUGCGUAGCCGACCUGAGAGGCGGAUCGGCCACACGGGAACGGAGACACGGUCCAGAGUCCUACGGGAGGCAGCAGUCGGGAAUCGUGCGCAAUGGGCGAAAGCCUGACGGAGCAACGCCGCGUGAGUGAUGAAGGUCUUCGGAGCGUAAAACUCUGUUAUUAGUGAAGAACAUAUGUGUAAGUAACUGUGCACAUCUUGACGGUACCUAAUCAAAAAGCCCCGGCUAACUACGUG
RNAcentral lists this ribosomal RNA (497 nucleotides) under uncultured bacterium. RNAcentral's name for it is "partial 16S ribosomal RNA". It matches the Rfam family "Bacterial small subunit ribosomal RNA", at positions 28 to 507 of the family's 1533-position model. The record is from RNAcentral.